RNAcentral lists this small nuclear RNA (35 nucleotides) under Cervus elaphus hippelaphus. Lineage: Eukaryota; Metazoa; Chordata; Mammalia; Artiodactyla; Cervidae. The record is from RNAcentral.
AUUGCUUCUCAGCCUUUUGGCUAAGAUUAAGUGUA